UGAAAAAAGUGACAUUUUAUGUCUAGAAAGUCACUUUUCAUCAAAAGUACAAUAACAAAACUUGUUCCCAUUCAUUCAGUGUGUCCAGACACACUUGUGCACUUUAUACGCUCAAAAGGCUAUACAGCGCUUCAGAAUACGCUAGGAGCAAAGGAAAGUGGUUUUUCUAACAAACUCAUAUAAUCAAUUGCCCGACGGACUCCAAUAUGAUAUUUUUCACAUAGUUAGACACAAUACAGUUCUAUGAAAUGUUUCUGACCUAAAAUAAGACGAGAUAUGAUUGUUUACGUUAAAAUAUAAAACUUGAUGAUAAAGUAUGAUAGGUGAAAAAAGUGUCAUUUGAAGUGUAGAAAGUCACUUUUGAUCAAAAGUACCGUAACAAAACUUGUUCCCAUUCAUCCUGUGUGUCCAGACACUCUGGUGCUCUUUAUAAGCUGAAAACGCUAUACAGCACUUGAGAAGACGCUAGGAGCAAAGGAAAGUGGUUUAUCUAACAAACUCAUAUAAUCAAUUGCCCGACGGACUCCAAUGAGAUAUUUUUCACAUAGUUAGACAUAAUACAGUACUAUGAAAUGUUUCGGACCUAAAAUAAGACUAAAUAUGAUUUUUUACAUUAAAAUGUAAAACUCAAUGAAAAGGUGAUAAAAGUGUCAUUUGAAGUGUAGAAAGUCACUUUUCAUCAAACGUACCAUAACAAAACUUGUUCCCAUUCAUCCUCUGUGUCCAUACACACUGGUGCUCUUUAUACGCUCAAAACGCUAUACAGCGCUUGAGAAGUCGCUAGGCGCAAAGGAAAGUGUUUUUCUAACAAACUCAUAUAAUUAAUUGCCCUCUGGACUCCAAUAUGAUAUUUUUCACAUAGUUAGACAUAAUAUAGUACUAUGAAAUGUUUCUGACCUAAAAUAAUACGAAAUAUAAUUGUUUACAUUAAAAUGUAAAAAUUGAUGAUAAAGUAUGAUAAGGUGAAAAACGUGUCAUUUGAAGUGUAGAAAGUCACUUUUCAUCAAAAGUACCAUAACAAAACUUGUUCUCAUUCAUCCUGUGUGUCCAUACACACCGGUGCUCUUUAUACGCUCAAAACGCUAUACAGCGCUUGAGAAGGCGCUAGGAGCAUAGGAAAGUGGUUUAUCUAACAAACUCAUAUAAUCAAUUGCCCGACGGACUCCAAUAGGAUAUUUUUCACAUAGUUAGACAUAAUACAGUACUAUGAAAUGUUUCUGACCUAAAAUAAGACGAAAUAUGAUUGUUUACAUGAAAUUGUAAAACUUGAUGAUAACGUAGGAUAAGGUGAAAAAAGUGUCAUUUGAAGUAUAGAAAGUCACUUUACAUCAAAAGUACCAUAAUAAAACUUGUUCUCAUUCAUCCUGUGUGUCCAUACACACUGGUGCUCUUUAUACUCUCAAAACGGUAUACAGCGCUUGAGAAGGCGCUAGGAGCAAAGGAAAGUGGUUUAUCUAACAAACUCAUAUAAUCAAUUGCCCGACGGACUCCAAUAUGAUAUUUUUCACAUAGUUAGACAUAAUACAGUACUAUGAAAUGUUUCUGACCUAAAAUAAGACGAAAUAUGAUUGUUUACAUUAAAAUGUAAAACGAUGAUAAUGUAUGAUAAGGUGAAUAAAGUGCAAUUUGAAGUGUAGAAAGUCACUUUUCAUCAAAAGUACAAUAACAAAACUUGUUCCCAUUCAUCCUGUGUGUCCAGACACACUGGUGCUUUUUUUUACGCUCCAAAUAGUAUACAACGCUUGAGAAGGCGCUAGGAGCAAAGGAAAGUGGUUUUUCUAACAAACUCAUAUAAUCAAUUGCCCGACGGACUCCAAUAGGAUAUUUUUCACAUAGUUAGACAUAAUACAGUACUAUGAAAUGUUUCUGACCUAAAAUAAGACGAAAUAUGAUUGUUUACAUGAAAUUGUAAAACUUGAUGAUAACGUAGGAUAAGGUGAAAAAAGUGUCAUUUGAAGUAUAGAAAGUCACUUUACAUCAAAAGUACCAUAAUAAAACUUGUUCUCAUUCAUCCUGUGUGUCCAUACACACUGGUGCUCUUUAUACUCUCAAAACGGUAUACAGCGCUUGAGAAGGCGCUAGGAGCAAAGGAAAGUGGUUUAUCUAACAAACUCAUAUAAUCAAUUGCCCGACGGACUCCAAUAUGAUAUUUUUCACAUAGUUAGACAUAAUACAGUACUAUGAAAUGUUUCUGACCUAAAAUAAGACGAAAUAUGAUUGUUUACAUUAAAAUGUAAAACGAUGAUAAUGUAUGAUAAGGUGAAUAAAGUGCAAUUUGAAGUGUAGAAAGUCACUUUUCAUCAAAAGUACAAUAACAAAACUUGUUCCCAUUCAUCCUGUGUGUCCAGACACACUGGUGCUUUUUUUUACGCUCCAAAUAGUAUACAACGCUUGAGAAGGCGCUAGGAGCAAAGGAAAGUGGUUUUUCUAACAAAUUCAUAUAAUCAAUUGCCCGACCUACUCCAAUAUGAUAUUUUUCACAUAUUUACACAUAAUAUAGUACUAUGAAAUGUUUCUGACCUAAAAUAUUACGAAAUAUGAUUGUUUACAUUAAAAUGUAAAAGUUGAUGAUAAAGUGUGCUAAGGUGAAAAAAGUGACAGUUUAUGUCUAGAAAGUCACUUUUCAUCAAAAGUACAAUAACAAAACUACUUCCCAUUCAUCCUGUGUGUCCAGACACUCUGGUGAUCUGUAUACGCUCAAAACGCUAUACAGCGAUUGAGAAGGCGCUAGGAGCAAAGGAAAGUGGUUUUUCUAACAAACUCAUGUAAUCAAUUGCCCGACCUACUCCAAUAUGAUAUUUUUCACAUAUUUACACAUAAUAUGGUACUAUGAAAUGUUUCUGACCUAAAAUAUUACGAAAUUUGAUUGUUUACCUUAAAAUGUAAAAGUUGAUGAUAAAGUGUGCUAAGGUGAAAAAAGUGACAUUUUAUGUCUAGAAAGUCACUUUUUAUCAAAUGUGCCCUAACAAAACUUGUUCACAUUCGUCCUGUGUUUCCAUACACUUUGGUGCUCAUCAGACGCUGAAAACCUUAAACAGCGAUUUUCAAGCAUCUGAGAGCGAAGGAAAGUGUUUUUUCUAACAAACGCAUAUAAUUAAUUGCAUGACGUCCUCCAAUAUGAUAUUUUCCGAUAUUUAUGACAUACUAUAGUACUAUGACAUGUUUCUGACCUAAAAUGAUAAAAAAAUAUGAUUGAUUACCUUAAUAUUUAUAAGUUGAUAAUAAAGUAUAAUAAGGGGGGAAAAAACAGACAAUUGAAGUGUAGAAAGUCACUUUUCAUCAAAUGUGCCUUAACAAAACUUGUUCACAUUCGUCCUGUGUGUCCAUACAGACUGGUGCUCUUCAGACUUUGAAAACCCUAUACAGCGUAUAGCGCUAAUAUACAGCACUAAUAUAGUCUAUUAUAGUAUAUUAUAAACAUGCCAAACUAUCAUAUUAAGUCAUAAACAAGUCAACCAUCUCAUAUUAAGUCAAUAACAUGUGAAAUAUGUCAUAGUAUCAUAUUAAAGCAUGAACAAGUAACAUAUAUAAUUUUAAGUCAUAAGCAAGUGAAACAUCUCAUAUUGAGUCAUAAACAUGUGAAACACAUCAUAGUAUCAUAUUAAGUUAUAAACAUGUCAAAGAAUCAUAUUUAGUCAUAAACAAGUCAAACAUCUCAUAUUGAGUCAUAAACAUGUGAAAUACAUCAUAGUAUCAUAUUAAGCCACAAACAAGUCAAACAUCUCGUAUUGAGUCAUAAACAUGUCAACACAUCAUAGUAUCAAAUUAAGUUAUAAACAUGUCAAAGAAUCAUAUUAAAUGAUAAACUAAGUCAACCAUCUCAUAUUAAGUCAGUAACAUGUGAAAUAUGUCAUAGUAUCAUAUUAAAGCAUAAACAAGUGAAACUUAUCAUAUUGAGUCAUAAACAAGUGAAACAUCUCAUAUUGAGCCAUAAACAUGUGAAACACAUCAUAGUAUCAUAAUAAGUUAUAAACAUGUCAAAGAAUCAUAUUAAGUCAUAAACCAGUGAACCAUCUCAUAUUGAGUCAUAAACAUGUGAAACACAUCAUUUUAUCAUACCAAGUAAUAAACAUUUUAAGUCAUAAACAAGUGAAACAUAUCAUAUUGUGUCAUAAAAAUGUGAAAUACAUCAUAGUAUCAUAUUAAAGCAUAAACAAGUGAAACAUCUCAUAUUGAGUCAUAAUCAAGUGAAACACAUCAUAUUGAGUCAUAAUCAUGUGAAACGUCUCAUAUUAAGUGAUAAUCUAAGUCAACAAUCUCAUAUUAAGUCAAUAACGUGAAAUAUGUCAUAGUAUCAUAUUAAAGCAUAAACAAGUAAAACGUAUCAUAUUGAGUCAUAAACAAGUGAAACAUCUCAUAGUAUCAUAUUAAGUUAUAAACAUGUCAAAGAAUCAUAUUUAGUCAUAAACCAGUGAACCAUAUCAUAUUGAGUCAUAAACAAGUCAAAAAUCUCAUAUUGAGUCAUAAACAUGCGAAACACAUAAUUUUAUCAUAUUAAGCAAUAAACAUUUUAAGUCAUAAACAAGUGAAAUAUAUCAUAUUGUGUCAUAAAAAUGUGAAACAGGUCAUAGAAUCAUAUUAAAUCGUUAUCAAGUGAAACAUAUCAUAUUAAGUCAUAAUCAUGUGAAACGUCUCAUAUUAAGUCAUAAACAAUUCAACCAUCUCAUAUUAAGUCAAUAACAUGUGAAAUAUGUCUUAGUAUCAUAUUAAGAUAAAAUCAUGUCAGAGAUUCAUAUUAAGACAUAAACAAUUGAAACAUCUCAUAUUGAGUCAUAAACAUGUGAAACACAUCAAAGUAUCAUAUUAAGUUAUAAACAUGUCAAAGGAUCAUAUUAAGGCAUAAACAUGUGAACCAUCUCAUAUUGAGUCAUAAACAAGUGAAACAUCUCAUAGUGAGUCAUAAACAUGUGAAACACAUCAUAGUAUCAAAUUGAGUUAUAAACAAGUGAAACAGAGCAUUUUGAGACGUAAACAAGUGAAACAUCUCAAAUUGAGUCAAAACCGUCUGAAACAUGUCAUCGUAUCACAUUAAGUCAUAAACAAGUGAAACAGAACAUAUUGAGACUUAAACAUGUCAUAGUAUUAUAAGUCAUAAACAAGUGAAACAGAUCAUAUUGAGUCAUAAACAUGUCAUAGUAUUAUAAGUCAUAAACAAGUGAAACAGAUCAUAUUGCGUCGUAAACGUCAUAGUAUAUCAUAUUAAGUCAUAAACAAGUCAAACAAAUCAUAUUGAGUCAUAAAUAAGUCAUAAUAUUAUAAGUCAUAAACAAGUGAAACAGAUCAUAUUAAGUCAUAAACAGGUGAAACAGAUCAUACUGAGUCAUACAUAUUUCAUAGAAUCAAAUAGUCAUAAACAAGUGAAACAGAUCAUAUUGAGUCAUAAAAAUGUCAAAGUAUCAUAUUAAGUCAUACAAAUGUGAAACGUCUCAUAUUGAGUCAGAAAAGUGAAACAUGUCAUAGUAACACAUUAAGUCAUAAACAAAUGAAACAGAUCAUAAACACGUGACAAAUAUCAUAAACAUGUGAAACAUGUCAUAUUGAGUCAUAAACAUGUGAAACAUUUUAAGUCAUAAACAUCAUAAACAUAACUAUCAUAUUGUCAUAAA
Long non-coding RNA from Ictalurus punctatus (channel catfish), 5606 nucleotides. The record is from Ensembl. NCBI's taxonomy places the organism in Eukaryota, Metazoa, Chordata, Actinopteri, Siluriformes, Ictaluridae.